This 885-nucleotide ribosomal RNA is filed under the name uncultured bacterium. RNAcentral describes it as "bacterial SSU rRNA". It matches the Rfam family "Bacterial small subunit ribosomal RNA", at positions 37 to 917 of the family's 1533-position model. The record is from RNAcentral.
GAGCGUCUAGCUUACCAUGCAGUCGAGGGGAACGGCAUUUAGUGCUUGCACCGAAUGGACGUCGACCGGCGCACGGGUGAGUAACGCGUAUCCAACCUUCCCAUAACUAAGGAAUAACCUGCCGAAAGGCAGACUAAUACCUUAUGUAAUCCUUUGAUGGCAUCAGAUAAGGAUAAAAGAUUUAUCGGUUAUGGAUGGGGAUGCGUCUGAUUAGCUUGUUGGCGGGGUAACGGCCCACCAAGGCAACGAUCAGUAGGGGUUCUGAGAGGAAGGUCCCCCACAUUGGAACUGAGACACGGUCCAAACUCCUACGGGAGGCAGCAGUGAGGAAUAUUGGUCAAUGGACGGAAGUCUGAACCAGCCAAGUAGCGUGCAGGAUGACGGCCCUAUGGGUUGUAAACUGCUUUUGUAUGGGGAUAAAGUCAAUCACGUGUGAUUGUUUGCAGGUACCAUACGAAUAAGGACCGGCUAAUUCCGUGCCAGCAGCCGCGGUAAUACGGAAGGUCCGGGCGUUAUCCGGAUUUAUUGGGUUUAAAGGGAGCGUAGGCCGGAGAUUAAGUGUGUUGUGAAAUGUAGACGCUCAACGUCUGACUUGCAGCGCAUACUGGUUUCCUUGAGUACGCACAACGUUGGCGGAAUUCGUCGUGUAGCGGUGAAAUGCUUAGAUAUGACGAAGAACUCCGAUUGCGAAGGCAGCUGACGGGAGCGCAACUGACGCUUAAGCUCGAAGGUGCGGGUAUCGAACAGGAUUAGAUACCCUGGUAGUCCGCACAGUAAACGAUGGAUGCCCGCUGUUGGUACCUGGUAUCAGCGGCUAAGCGAAAGCAUUAAGCAUCCCACCUGGGGAGUACGCCGGCAACGGUGAAACUCAAAGGAAUUGACGGA